GUGCUUGCUUCGGCAGCACAUAUACUAAGAUUGGAACGAUACAGAGAAGAUUAGCAUGGCCCCUGUGCAAGGAUAACAUGCAAAUUUGUGAAGCAUUCCAUAUUUUU
Molecule: small nuclear RNA, 107 nt
Organism: Otolemur garnettii (small-eared galago)
Lineage: Eukaryota; Metazoa; Chordata; Mammalia; Primates; Galagidae
Source: Ensembl